CUUGAUCGACCCCAACAGCAACGGCCGGUCCCCCGGCCGAUCCUGCCCGUACGUGGCCAGCAGCGCCUGCGCCUC
Molecule: antisense RNA, 75 nt
Filed under: Micromonospora sagamiensis
Lineage: Bacteria; Bacillati; Actinomycetota; Actinomycetes; Micromonosporales; Micromonosporaceae
Description: ASpks TB sRNA
Rfam family: ASpks TB sRNA
Source: RNAcentral